This 252-nucleotide ribosomal RNA is filed under the name uncultured prokaryote. RNAcentral's name for it is "partial 16S ribosomal RNA". It matches the Rfam family "Bacterial small subunit ribosomal RNA", at positions 523 to 774 of the family's 1533-position model. The record is from RNAcentral.
AGACAGAGGGUGCAAACGUUGCUCGGAAUUACUGGGCGUAAAGCGCGUGUAGGCGGUGCCGCACGUCCGGUGUGAAAGCCCGGGGCUCAACCCCGGAAGUGCACUGGAUACGACGGCACUGGAGUCCUGAAGAGGAGGGCGGAAUUCCCGGUGUAGAGGUGAAAUUCGUAGAUAUCGGGAGGAACACCAGUGGCGAAGGCGGCCCUCUGGACAGGUACUGACGCUGAGACGCGAAAGCGUGGGUAGCAAACA